Dendrothele bispora CBS 962.96 is the source of this 97-nucleotide non-coding RNA. The record is from the annotation of a GenBank genome assembly. NCBI's taxonomy places the organism in Eukaryota, Fungi, Basidiomycota, Agaricomycetes, Agaricales.
GCCCCCAUUGUCUAAUGGUUAUGACGUCAGACUUCUAUCAACAAGUGAGAGACUCUGCGAAAUCUGGAGGUUGCGGGUUCGAGUCCCGCUGGGGGUU